UCCCUCCAGAUUCUUUAUCCCGCAAACUUACAGAGUGGUUUGAAUGGGUUGAAAACUGAGGAAAAGGAAAACUAAAAUGGAAUUGGAGUGUUUAGUGACAAACAAGGUCAUCUCAAACAAGA
RNAcentral lists this small nucleolar RNA (122 nucleotides) under Echinops telfairi (small Madagascar hedgehog). Its description in RNAcentral is "Small nucleolar RNA SNORA61 (ENSETEG00000025200.1)". Lineage: Eukaryota; Metazoa; Chordata; Mammalia; Afrosoricida; Tenrecidae. The record is from RNAcentral.